GUCGGCAUCAUUUCACUACACAUGAUUGGUUAAGGUUCCUGUCCUCUGUGAUUGGCCGUCAUAAGAAGCAGCAGCAGUAACGUUCUAAUGCCAGGACAGUAGGACAGCUGCACGGCAGACCAUCAGGAGGCACAGUUAUAAAACGCUGCCAGGCGGGUGGUUGCCUUGUUAAGGAGUGCCCUGGCUAAUGAAGCUGGACCAUCUUCACAAAACCGCCUAUUCAAAUGUGGAAAAGACUUCAGGAUGGACCUGGGAGACAGAUGCAAACAGCAGAUGAGUUUGAGAGCGAUGGAGAAACACAAGGACUGUCAUUUGCCUACUGGGCAGGCCCAUCAACUCAACGGGGAGAUAAAUUCAAUUUGAAGCCUAAAUCUGACUAUCAUUGUGGAGUGCACUAUGGUAACAUCACAUGUGCAUAAUUUCUGUUUAAGAUUAAAAUACUCAGGUGCUCAAAGUGAGAAAUAGAAAUAAA
Micropterus dolomieu (smallmouth bass) is the source of this 472-nucleotide long non-coding RNA. RefSeq lists it as uncharacterized. The record is from RefSeq and is a predicted model, not a curated record. The transcript is spliced from 3 exons. NCBI's taxonomy places the organism in Eukaryota, Metazoa, Chordata, Actinopteri, Centrarchiformes, Centrarchidae.